This 789-nucleotide long non-coding RNA is filed under the name Penaeus japonicus. RNAcentral describes it as "uncharacterized LOC122255060". Lineage: Eukaryota; Metazoa; Arthropoda; Malacostraca; Decapoda; Penaeidae. The record is from RNAcentral.
CUCCUCCUCCUCCACCGCCACCACCACCAGCCCCGCCACUACUACCGACCAGUCCCCGCCCUGACUGCCUCACAGACAGCAGUCCGCGCGCACUCUCGUCGUCUCGUUGCGACCCGUUCCGAAUGCGGAUUCAGUGCCGAUUUUUGACGCAUUUGGCCGAUUUUCUGUGCGUGUGAUAAUCUGGAAUGAAGUGAUUGGACUGAUGUGCCACCGCUUGCCCGUGUUCCGUUUUUGUUUUGAGUGAGCAACAAAACAAAACAAAACAGGUUGCACACAUGACCACGACAAAGGGUAAUGCUAGAAUGUUGCACGUCGGUUAUUGACAGUCUCGUGUGUUGUUGAUACUUAUUGCCAUGGUCAGUUUAUCGCAGUGAUAACACUCAGGGCGCACAUAAAACCUCCGACCGUGUUCCCGGGAUGUGCUUGCCAGUGCUGUGUGUUUCGGAGCUGUAAAAAGUGGUGUUGGGAAGUGACGUUGUUUUGCCCCUCGGAGCAAAGAAGCAAGCAAGCAAGCAAGGAAGCAAGCAAGCAAGCAAGCAAGCAAGCAAGGGCCUCAGGAAGGAACCCGCCCGCUCGUCUUGUGAACUGGAGGUUUGGCGAGACACUUGGAAGCUUCUAGGCAACCGGGAGUUCGACGUAGUGCUGGAAGCUUUGCCUUGAAGGAUUUUGGACUCAAGGUAAUGAACCCCGCCGUGCACUGAGCAGAAACAACAGAAGGUGAUUAACUAAUUAUGGUAGAGGGAGGGAGAGGGAGAAGGGGAGUGAGAGAGAGAGAGGGAGAAGGAGAGG